This 69-nucleotide transfer RNA is filed under the name Cherax preissii. Its description in RNAcentral is "tRNA-Ser". Lineage: Eukaryota; Metazoa; Arthropoda; Malacostraca; Decapoda; Parastacidae. The record is from RNAcentral.
UGGGUAUUUAGUUUAUUCUAAAACAAAUGUUUUGAAAACAUUAAUAGGAAUCUUAUUUUUCCAAUCCCC